CCUACGGGUGGCAGCAGUGGGGGAUAUUGCACAAUGGGGGAAACCCUGAUGCAGCGACGCCGCGUGAGUGAAGAAGUAUUUCGGUAUGUAAAGCUCUAUCAGCAGGGAAGAAAAUGACAGUACAUGACCAAGAAGCCCCGGCUAACUACGUGCCAGCAGCCGCGGUAAUACGUAGGGGGCAAGCGUUAUCCGGAUUCACUGGGUGGAAAGGGAGCGUAGACGGUUAUGUAAGUCUGGAGUGAAAGCGCGGGGGCCAAACCCGGGACGGCUUUGGAAACUGUGUAACUGGAGUACAGGAGGGGCAGGCGGAAUUACUGGUGUAGCGGUGAAAUGCGUAGAUAUCAGGAGGAACACCGGCGGCGAAGGCGGCCUGCUGGACUGAAACUGACGUUGAGGCUCGAAAGCGUGGGGAGCAAACAGGAUUAGAUACCCCAGUAGUC
RNAcentral lists this ribosomal RNA (440 nucleotides) under uncultured bacterium. RNAcentral describes it as "partial 16S ribosomal RNA". It matches the Rfam family "Bacterial small subunit ribosomal RNA", at positions 338 to 795 of the family's 1533-position model. The record is from RNAcentral.